UACGGAGGGUGCAAGCGUUAAUCGGAUUUACUGGGCGUAAAGCGUGCGUAGGCGGCCAUGUGUGUCGGAUGUGAAAGCCCCGGGCUUAACCUGGGAAUUGCAUUCGAAACUGCAUGGCUAGAGUGUGUUAGAGGGAAGUGGAAUUCCAGGUGUAGCGGUGAAAUGCGUAGAUAUCUGGAAGAACACCGAUGGCGAAGGCAACUUCCUGGGACAACACUGACGCUGAGGUACGAAAGCGUGGGGAGCAAACAGG
This 253-nucleotide unclassified non-coding RNA is filed under the name Gammaproteobacteria bacterium. RNAcentral's name for it is "partial 16S ribosomal RNA". It matches the Rfam family "Bacterial small subunit ribosomal RNA", at positions 524 to 776 of the family's 1533-position model. RNAcentral also lists the same sequence under 1 other name. The record is from RNAcentral. Lineage: Bacteria; Pseudomonadati; Pseudomonadota; Gammaproteobacteria.